GUCGGCCCCCUCUGGGUGCAAAGGGGGACGCCGUCCUAGCAGCGCGAUGCUUUGUGCCCUAUUUGUGUGGAAGGCGCUUUGGUUCUGGACUGUGGUCUGGAGCGGAGUUUCUUGAAAGGGAUCAAGGACUGCAGGGGGUGUCCUGCAAAGAGCUGUGCUGCCAUACUUCUAGGGAUCUACCUCCGUGUUCCAGCACCUGCCUGAACUGCUCCGGAAUGAGAUGUACCUGGCGUAGGAGGCUUCCCCUGGAAAGUACUGCAGAUUAACCCAGAGCCCCUGGCACCCGGACCCUGGGGGUGGAAAGAGGGCAAGAGGGCUGAGCCCUGGCCCAGGGGAGGACCAGGACUGGAGGGUGACCUGUCCCUCUUGACGGGGAAUCUGGGGCUGGCUCAGGUGCUGCAGCCUAAUCUCCAGCUGUGAGCAGCUGUGGGUUGUUGCCCAACCAGGACUCUGCCCUGGUUGCCAAAACCUCUCUCAUAGGAUUCCUGGUUUCUGAAGCCCACAGAACUGUCCACUCGUCACUGGAAAACCCAUGGUGCAGUGGGAUGGCCAAUGGCUGUGGACCUGGGCCCUGGGGAACAGGCACUCGGGGACAGCCCACACCCUGCCCGCCUUUGCCCAUAGGGCAGGGAACGCACAGGGGACAAACUGUCGGGGAGGCAGAUGGUAUCAGCUGGUCAGGACACUGCCCCCAGCCAGCGUGUCCUUGCAGCUCUGGGCCCUGGGAGCACGAGCAGCCAGGUGCAGCCCCUGUGCGGCCACAGCAGUCAGGUGGGUGAGCAGAGGCCGCUCACCGGUCUGACACAGGGAGCCCCGAGCCCCUCUUCUGGGCAAGGGAUGGGGUGUCUGGACUUCACUGAGGGUAUUUCCAAGGCACAGCAGGGCAUGGGGAAAGCAGCCUUCCUCCCUUUUAAUCCACACUGCCCUGUGGCUAGACCACACUGUGCACCCACAUAGUGGUUUUAGCCCUGGCACCACCACAAAGCAAGACUGUACUGUUCCAGGACCCAUGCCAGCAGGGCAUCCAUGCAUGGCUCUUAGCUGGCACCCUGUAACCACUCCUGGGCUGCACCUGGCACCCAGGGACGCACGUCCACCUGGUCCUCCUGAGCCCUGCCCACUAGCCUCCUGAAGAUACAGCAGGCCUCUAGCUCCACCCACUGCUCUCCAUUUAGCCGGUGUCAGGACAACACUGUCCGGGCCCUGCUUGGGGCUGGGUGGUACGUUGACACACGCUCCCACACAGCUCCCUGUGCAUGUGUGUGAGGGAGGAGGUGACUAUGUGGGUCACGCCUGGUGCUGGCCCAGGUGAUGGGGAAGGAGGACCCCAGGGAGCAGGAGGUGCUAAGGGACAAGGGGUGAGGAAGGGGCAAAGGGCUGCCAGGCAAGCUUGUCAGACAUGGGGCUGUGGCUGGGUUUUGUGGGGUUACGGGCAUUUGCUGUGCAUGACGGGUGCCUGCUCUGCUGUUACACUUUGUGGCUAGGUGUCCCCCCAAAGCC
Octodon degus (degu) is the source of this 1500-nucleotide long non-coding RNA. RefSeq lists it as uncharacterized. The record is from RefSeq and is a predicted model, not a curated record. NCBI's taxonomy places the organism in Eukaryota, Metazoa, Chordata, Mammalia, Rodentia, Octodontidae. The transcript is spliced from 3 exons.